Siniperca chuatsi (mandarin fish) is the source of this 4816-nucleotide long non-coding RNA. RefSeq lists it as uncharacterized. Lineage: Eukaryota; Metazoa; Chordata; Actinopteri; Centrarchiformes; Sinipercidae. The transcript is spliced from 2 exons. The record is from RefSeq and is a predicted model, not a curated record.
ACACACACACACACACACACACACACACACACACAGCUAGGCUCCCCUCCUCCCCCUUUACAGCAUAAACACACUGAUGGGGCUUAGAAGAACCAGCACCUCCUCCCCUCCAUCCCUCUACCCCUCAACCCCUUCUCCCGUCUCUGCUGGCUCUUUUAAUGAAGCCAAGCUGAGCACUAAGCAGAGAGCCAUUACAGCUCUUGCAGAUUUUCUUUUUUUUUUUUCAAGAAUUAACACUUGAGCACUGCAGGGGGAUAAAGAGAAAAGGAAAGAAGGGAAAUGUCCCCAAAGGUGUUUUCUUCCUAUUUCUCUCUCUCCUUUCACUUUCACCAGGGGAUCUGAGAGCUCGGUGGCUUUUGUGUGAGUUUCCACUGCUCACCCUUACACCUCCACCUUUAUCUAUUCCCCCUGGCUCAACCUGGCAAAGAAGAGUUGCAGCAAACAACUGAUGCUGUAUGUGAUAAGAAAGGAAAAGAUGAGCAUGCUUCUUCAUUUAAAUCUUUCGGGGCCUUAGGACUGGGCUGUGUUUUGUCUGUGGGUCCAGUUGGAAGUAAUCUGCAGGCUGGCAGGGAAUGAAAGAGCUCCAUGGUUCAUCCCUGAUGCUCCCCAGCCGCCGUCCGGCCGACCCUCUCCGCGGGCCUCCGUCUCCAGCCCUCCCCAGUGGGAUAAGACCUGCUCAAGGUCCCCUCUGUGAUGUGGGCUGCCCAAUAAAAGCCAAUACUAGCUGGAUUCCCAGGCCCAGUUUCCCCCUGAGUCUUUAUCUUUCACAGCAUUGGCUGAGGGUGAGGGCUGCCAGAGAAUUAGGUUUCACUCUGCUCACACAGACUGCUUCGCUCUUUGAUUCUGCCAUGGGUGGAAGAAGCUGAAGCAGCUAGAGGAGUGUGUGUGUCUGUAGAAUGGAAAAUGCUGAGAUGGAAACACAUCCAGUCAAGAGGGGCUGAUUGGAAUGGAUAUGGAUUUCACAAAACAAUUCCACAAUAUUUUAAAAUAGUUCAUAAAGGAUAGGUUCAUAUUUUUGUUAGUCUAUCUUAAUUCAAUACUCAUAGGCCAUAUGUACUAGUUAUUGGUUUGUGGUUUCCCUGACAGUGUUUCCUCUGCUCAGCCGGGGCACAGGGAUAGUAACACAAAGAAGGAAUUUUAUACUUAAAAAGAUUGUCUAACUCAGAUUGCUGAAGCCUCAUAUUAGCUUCGGCUGAUUAGAAUUCAUUUUUGUACACAAGAAAAUGGUGGGUUUUGUCCCCCAUCUCUUACCCUGUAGUUGAGCUAGGGUGCAAUCGCUUCACAGAAAAACAGGAACAUUACCACUCACAAGAAAGGGAGAGAAAAAAAACAGACAAAAAAAGGGUGACAAGAAAAAACAACUGCUGUACUCUUCCUCGUAGAUUUCUGUGGGAUAUCUCUUUGAUUUUCAUAUUGGAUCGACAAAGUUUUCCAAUGACUUAGAGAUUCUAGCUGCUGUGAGCUUCUGGGUUGGGAAGAAGAUCAUGUCCAUAAACAUCUGAGUAGCAUUUAAAAACUUCUGACCAAAACCUGUAAAGUCUGGUGCAGAACCAGAACACACGAGCCAGUGUUCCAUCAGAUUGUUUGCAUUUAAUACAAAGUGAAGAAGAGGAUGGGUAGAAUUAAUGUAAUUUAACAGAUGAAUAAUGAAGUCUAUGUAUGAACUUAUAAUUAAUUAACUGAUGUCUAGAAUUAAUUGAGUAUGUGCUAUGAAGACAUUUAGCCCAUGUAUCUUCUGAUAUUUCGACUCCUAUUUCACUCUCCCAGGACGCCCUCAAGUACUAUGUGGAUGGAGCAGUCUGGCCCGCAUACAUUUACAAACAUAGAGACCAGUUUUUUGGCAUCAGGCUCAGUCGUCACUAGGGACUGAAGUUCAUCAGGGAGCUGUAAGUUUCAAAAUUUGAAAUGUUUCCUCUAACAUAGUUCCUGAUUUGUAGAUACCUGAAAAAGUGGGGUGACUGCAGUGUAAAUGUUGCUUUAAGCUGAGAAAAUGAAGAAAAUACAUUAUCAGUACAGAGUACAGGUCAUUAAUAGUAACAAGACCAUUCCUUUUCCAGGCUGAAAAAACAGCAUCUAGUUGUGAAGGAGGGAAUGCAUGCAUUGUAACAAAUAGGGGCCAAAAUGGAAGUGUUUGGUAGCUGGAAUGUUUUUAUUUUAUUUGAUACCAUACUUUUAUUGAGUUUUGGACUCUAAAACCGAUGCUCUUAAAAGAUCCAGGAGGGUUUUUUUUUUUUUUUUGGCUGAAGUGCUGGGAGAGAAGUGCUGCUAACGUCCUGCUCUAAAGCCACCCUUGAUGGGAUAGUGUCUUUAAGCUCCUCAGGGUAUGCAUCCUGCCAGUAAAUGAGGGCUCAGGCAUUGGCCGCCCAGUAAUAGUGCUGGAACACCGGUAAACCCAGUCCUCCCAGUCUUUAGGUUUGCACAGAUGCUUUUUACUUAUACGAUGUGUUUUGUACCCCCUGAUAAAAGGCAUGAUAAUUGAAUCCAGUGUUUUAAAAAGGCUUUAGGGAGACAAAGUGGUAUAUUUUGGAAUAAAUACUCCCAAGAAGAGCUAUGGGUCUAUUUAUCUUUUUUCAGAAUUAAGGAAAUAUUUGUGGUGUAUAAUGAUUCUGAUAAUGUUUUGUUUUUAAUUGACUCUUUAAACAUUCUCAGCAAUAAAGGGGCUCUGUCGUCUAUACCAAGGCCAUCAGGGCCAGCUGCCUUGCCAUUUGGGAAUUAUUUUAUCGCUGUGAGGACCUCCUGUAGUGAUAUUUCUACAUUCAGCUCAUUUUAUGCAUUUAGGUCUAGUUUAGGGAGUGAAAGAGAGCGCAGAAAUUGAAGGAUAUCUGCUUCAUUUGUAAGACUUUGGGAGGUGUAUAAUUCUUCAUAAUAUUUCCUGAAGCAGUCAGUUAUUUUAACAGGGUCUGUAACUAUAGAGCCUAAAGGAGGUUUAAUCUUAUUAUUAUAUAGCCCUAAUGGCUUGUGCACCUCUCAACUGUCGUGAAAGCAGGGGGGCCGGGUUUCUCUCCCAAUUCAAACUGUGUAUGCCUCACUUUCAGAAGCAAAGUGCUAACUUGCUUUGAAAGAAUGCUGUUAUAUAUCUAUGUUUUAGUGUUACAGUAUCUUUGCAGAUGAAGAUCUAGCCUCUCUAUACUGUUUUUCAAACAAAGCAAGCUGCUGCUCUGUUUCUGUUAACCUGUUUCUCCUUUGCUUUUUUUUUGUGUUGCUUCAUAUAUUACAAAUCCUCUUAUGACUACUUUAAGGGCUUCCCACAAAGUCGAAUCUUAAAACAUCCCCUGUAUCAUUGAAAGCCACAUACUCCUUAAUAAAAGCUGAGCAUUUUUCAAAAAAUAUUUUAUCAUGAAGCAGGUUUGGAUUAAAUGGAUUAUGGGUUGUAAUGGGUCUUCUUCCAUCCAACAUCGAUGCCUAUAGUAACAGGACUGUGAUCUGAGAUUAAGAUAUUAUGGUAUUUUGAUGAGGAGAUUGCAGGUGUUUAUUUAGAGUCAAUUAAAAAGUAAUCAAUAUAUGUGCUGUGAACUUACAAGAAGAAGGAAUAUCCUUUCUCAGUGGGAUGCUGAAUUCUCCAGAUACAGAUUAUUUAGCACAACUGUAGAGUCUAGAGUGUUUACUCGGCGCGAGGAAGCCCUAUCCAUAAGUGUAUCUAUACUGCAGUUAAAGUCACCACCAGCAAUCAAGUUGGUUGUUAAUAAAUCAGCAAUGGGACUGAAAAGACCACGAAAGAAACCUGGGUUAUCAAAUUUGGUGCAUAUAUGUUUAACAGGGUGACAUGAAGAGUCAAAAUAGUGCCAGUCAAAAUUCUAAAGCGACCUUUAGGAUCAGUUUUAGUGGACAAAUGUUGAAAAGGAAUAUUAUGUUUAAUUAAUAUGGCCACGGCUCGUACUGAAAAAGUUGAAAAUGUUUGCAACCAGUAACAUUUUCAACAUACAUAUGAUGUGAGUAUUGUUUUAAGAUAGACUUGAAAAAAUCCAAAUCCAUCCAUUAACCUGACUUGAGGUGGAAGGUUUUAUACCAAUUUAAGGUGGGAAAAUAGUUGAAGACAUUAUGUCAUAAAGCAAUUGUGAAGUGCUUUCAAGCAUCCAGAGCUUUUUGUGCUUUAGUUCUGGAGGAAGCAUGAAAUAUGGCAAGACCCUUGAUUACUGAAGGGACUACCAUGGGCCUUGUGGUAAGAUUAUUUUAUCAACUGCUGUCUCAGAGGACAAGAAUAAGUUUCAGUCUCUUCUAAGUCAACAUGGACGAGAAGUUCUGACAGUGCUCAGAGGUAUGGAAGUUUGAACAUCUGCGUCUCCAUUACAACUGGGCAAACUCAAUCUGCUCAGGAACAUUGUGUGAUACAUUCGAAAACUCCAGAACAGCUACUGGACCUUGUGGGGAAAUUAUUUUGUCAGCAGUGGAUUAUGUACAACAUUUUGUCAUAUUAAAUGCCAAUGUUUCUAGCAAUGCUUGUAGUGUGGCUCUACAGAGUCAGACUGAAAUAUCUUUGCAACUACUGGAUGGAUUGCCAUGAAAUUUGGUGCAGAUAUCCACGGUACCCAGAGGAUGAAUUCUACUACUUCUUCUUCUACUGAUGUUGUGAUCCAGAAUUUUAAUCCAGUGCCAUCAUCAAGUUACAUUUUUUAUUAGUACAACACUUUGGUUUAUGACCAAAUACUUGCAAUACUAAUGACAUACAGGGACAUUAGGGACAGGAACUCUGGCCUCCUGCAUGAACGUCGGAUACACUAAACACCUAUAAACUUCUCCUUGUGUCUGUGGGCAUGUUGAAGUUUGACAAAGCUCCUGAGUGAAAUUAAAGUGCAAGUCUGACCUUUCUCUGAUGCAA